AAUGGAUCCUAAAGAAAGUAUUUUAUUUGAAUUAAAAGUAUGCUUCACCUUAAUGUACUCUCUCAUUUAAAAGUUCUCCUUUUCAAAAAUAUUGUUUUGCAAAUUUCAAAUCACCGACGCUGGCUGUCAAAAUCAUGAUGACGCUAACCAAUAAGAUACUGUUUCUGACAAAAACAAAACAGUCAGCGUCGCGAAGAAACGCACAAAAAAGGCAGUUUGUUUUAUUCAAUAUUUCGCGAUCGAUCAUCUGCCGCGGCCUUCGAGGAGUCUUUAAGAAAACGCCUGCAUAAAGGACAAUUGUAAACUCAAAACAUCUACAAGGGAUGCUACCAGUUCUGACAAGAAUGUCUGGUGGUCAAAUUUUAAUAUGCUCAGCGAGACAGCCCCAAUUAGACAUAUUUGCAGAAAAAUACCAAGAAGAUACCGAAAACCGGCGGAAGAUCUUUUCGGAAAAAGUCGAGACUGGAGAUCGUGACAGUGACGUCACUCCCAGCUACAUUAAUCUUGGCCCCGUUUCAAAUUAUCGACGUUUACUAAAACAACGAUUUCUUAUAAAAAAUAAGGUUUUGGAAUGAACAAUAAAUAAAUUGAAUAUUUGAGAACAAAAUUUUAAUUAUUAUUAAUAAUAAUCCAAACUUUUCAUUUCGAAAGAGAAAACUA
Molecule: long non-coding RNA, 660 nt
Organism: Armigeres subalbatus
Lineage: Eukaryota; Metazoa; Arthropoda; Insecta; Diptera; Culicidae
Exons: 3
Source: RefSeq, a predicted model, not a curated record